RNAcentral lists this microRNA precursor (125 nucleotides) under Hordeum vulgare. RNAcentral describes it as "microRNA MIR1122". It matches the Rfam family "MIR1120/MIR1122 microRNA precursor family". The record is from RNAcentral. Lineage: Eukaryota; Viridiplantae; Streptophyta; Magnoliopsida; Poales; Poaceae.
AUUCUACUCCCUCCGUCCGGAAAUACUUGUCGGAGGAAUGGAUGUAUCUAGAUGCAUUUUAGUUCUAGAUACAUCCAUUUCUAUUCAUUUCUGCAACAAGUAAUUCCGGGCGGAGGGAGUAUAUU